This 253-nucleotide ribosomal RNA is filed under the name uncultured bacterium. Its description in RNAcentral is "partial 16S ribosomal RNA". It matches the Rfam family "Bacterial small subunit ribosomal RNA", at positions 524 to 776 of the family's 1533-position model. The record is from RNAcentral.
UACAGAGGGGGCAAGCGUUGUUCGGAAUUACUGGGCGUAAAGGGCGCGUAGGCGGCCUUCUAAGUCGAACGUGAAAUCCCCGGGCUCAACCCGGGAACUGCGUCCGAUACUGGAAGGCUUGAAUCCGGGAGAGGGAUGCGGAAUUCCAGGUGUAGCGGUGAAAUGCGUAGAUAUCUGGAGGAACACCGGCGGCGAAGGCGGCAUCCUGGACCGGCAUUGACGCUGAGGCGCGAAAGCUAGGGGAGCAAACGGG